RNAcentral lists this long non-coding RNA (213 nucleotides) under Panax ginseng (ginseng). Its description in RNAcentral is "long non-coding RNA (PGIN_LNC007976)". Lineage: Eukaryota; Viridiplantae; Streptophyta; Magnoliopsida; Apiales; Araliaceae. The record is from RNAcentral.
AAUUAUUGAGUCAAUAAUAUAAAAUACUAUUCAAUUAUCACUGUAGCAAUUAUUGCAUCAAUAAUAUGAAAGACUGUGCAAUUUUUACUGUAACAAUUAUUGAGUCAAACACUGAGUGACUUCUUACGCAAGCAUCAAUAAUCAGAGAUAUUGUGACCUACCAUGUGCUACUAUGUAAAACCCCGUACUACUGUGGAACAACGCAUAUUACUG